This 516-nucleotide ribosomal RNA is filed under the name uncultured bacterium. Its description in RNAcentral is "partial 16S ribosomal RNA". It matches the Rfam family "Bacterial small subunit ribosomal RNA", at positions 28 to 523 of the family's 1533-position model. The record is from RNAcentral.
GACGAACGCUGGCGGCGUGCCUAAUACAUGCAAGUCGAGCGAACAGAUGAAGAAGCUUGCUUCUUCUGACGUUAGCGGCGGACGGGUGAGUAACACGUGGGCAACCUACCUUAUAGUUUGGGAUAACUCCGGGAAACCGGGGCUAAUACCGAAUAAUCUAUUCUCUCUCAUGUGAGAAUACUAAAAGACGGUUUCGGCUGUCGCUAUAAGAUGGGCCCGCGGCGCAUUAGCUAGUUGGUGAGGUAACGGCUCACCAAGGCGACGAUGCGUAGCCGACCUGAGAGGGUGAUCGGCCACACUGGGACUGAGACACGGCCCAGACUCCUACGGGAGGCAGCAGUAGGGAAUCUUCCACAAUGGGCGAAAGCCUGAUGGAGCAACGCCGCGUGAGUGAAGAAGGAUUUCGGUUCGUAAAACUCUGUUGUAAGGGAAGAACAAGUACAGUAGUAACUGGCUGUACCUUGACGGUACCUUAUUAGAAAGCCACGGCUAACUACGUGCCAGCCGCCGCGGUAA